CAUAGUAGGUACUUAAUAAAUAUUUGAUGAAUGAUGAUCCACAUUAUAGAUCUCUUUCUAGUUUUUUUCAAGAGCUUUUGCAUUCUUUAGGUUAUUUAACACACACGAGGACUUAAAUAACACUAACACUCAUGCCCCUAGUGUAGGCAUCCCUUCUACAACAUUCUCUAAAAAAUAGUGGAGUGCGAACUCCAUAGAUAGACCUGGGUUUGAGUCCAAGAUUGGCUAUCUCCAAGCUGUUCUGGUCCUCGGUUUUCUUAUUUGUAAAAUACCUUUUUUAAGGUAUUUAAGGUAUUUCUAGUUCAAACUAAAUUUGACGCUAUAGGCAAAGGAGCAGUAAUCAUUAAUGUUAACCUUGUGAUUACUGUUACUUGGAAGGCAGACUGUUCAUGAAGCUGCCCAUCUGAAUGUGUUUUUUUCCAAAUGAAAAGUAGAAAUGUUCCACUUCUGUGAUUUCUCUCUGUCCCCUGGGGCAUAAUGGAUGAGGAUUGAUUUUUCUUUCCAUUUAUUCAGCAAAUAUUAAUUCAGUACUGCUAUGUGCCAAGCAGUGUGCAAGAUCUGGAAUUACUGGGAUGAAUAAAAGCAACGGUCUCUGUCCUCAUGACGCUUACAGUCUAGCAGAGGAAUAAGACAUUACACUACUAAUUUUAGUUGUGAAAAAUUCUGCAUAGAAGUGCAGGUUGCUGUGAGCAGAUAUAGGAACAACAACAACAAUAAUGUAAUAGAAGGAGUAGCUAACAUUUAUAUAGCACUUACCUAUAUAUGUGCCAGUCACUAGCAUUUUCUGUAUUAACGCAUGUAAUCCUAACAACCCUGAGGUAGAUACUGUGAUUAUCCCACUUUACACUUGAGAAAACUGAGACACAGCUGGUCACAUUGUAACUGCCAUGGCCACCUUGCUAAGAAGUGACAGAGCUAGGAUUUAAACCUGGCCCCAGAAACCUCGUUGUUUGCUACUUUAUAGUACUGGGACCUCAUCCAAAGGAGGGCUGUUGGGAGGCUUCUUAAGGAAGAGAUACUCGAAAUCUGAAAGUCGAAAUUAAGCAGGAGAAGGCAUGCAAAAGAGCUGGGUGGGAAAGAACACGACUACUUAGAGGAGCAGAGAGCAACAGAUGAAAGAGUGGGGGAGGAGAUCUGGUUGGGACGGGCAAGGCCACGGGGGAGGAUUCAGGAUCGGGUUUGUCCUACGAGGCAUGCGAGUUACAAAUGUACUUGAGAUGGGAAUGGCAUGAUGAGUCCCUUGCUUCAGAGGCACAGAAGCUGCUGGGAGGACUGUCGUUCAGAGAGUUGAACACCAUGCCCACCACUUCCCCAAGGCGUGUCUCCAGGUUGAACCUCCCAGUUCCCUCACCUUCCUCACAUAAUUUGGUUCCCAGACCUUGGUGUGCCUCAUCAUUGGAACUUUGUGUAGAACUUUGGAAUAGUGUGGAGUGUAUUUAUUUAAUAGUCGUUUCCCCCCAAGGUUCAAGCACUGUCUUCCUGUUGGCCCUGACAAUCAUAGCCAGCGCCCAUGCUCUGACGCCCACUCACUACCUCACUAGGCAUGAUGUGGAGAGACUGAAAGCCUCGCUGGAUCGCCCUUUCACAAGUUUGGAAUCUGCUUUCUACUCCAUCGUGGGACUCAGCAGCCUUGGUGCCCAGGUGCCAGAUGUAAAGCAAGCAUGCACCUUCAUUAAAUCAAACCUUGAUCCAAGCAACGUGGAUUCCCUUUUCUAUGCUGCCCAGUCCAGCCAGGCCCUCUCAGGGUGUGAGAUCUCUAUUUCAAAUGAGACCAAAGAUCUGCUUCUGGCAGCUGUCAGUGAAGACUCCUCCGUGGCCCAGAUCUACCACGCAGUUGCAGCCCUAAGUGGCUUUGGCCUUCCUCUGGCUUCCCAAGAAGUGCUCGGUGCCCUUACCUCUCGCCUCAGCAAGGAGGAGACUGUGCUCGCAACAGUCCAGGCUCUACAGACGGCAUCCUACCUGUCCCAGCAGGCUGACCUGAGAAGCAUUGUGGAGGAGAUUGAGGACCUUGUUGCUCGCCUGGAUGAACUGGGAGGUGUGUAUCUUCAGUUUGAAGAGGGACUGGAAACAACGGCAUUGUUUUUGGCUGCCACCUACAAGCUCAUGGACCACGUGGGCACCGAGCCAUCCAUUAAGGAGGAUCAGGUCAUCCAGCUAAUGAAUGCCAUCUUCAGCAAGAAGAACUUUGAGUCACUCUCAGAAGCCUUCAGUGUGGCCUCUGCUGCCGCUGCACUCUCCCAGAAUCGCUUCCAUGUACCUGUUGUGGUUGUGCCUGAGGGCUCUCCUUCCUACACUCAGGAACAGGCUGUCCUACGGUUGCAGGUCACCAAUGUUCUGUCCCAGCCUCUGACUCAGGCCACUGUUAAACUAGAACACGCUAAAUCCGUUGCCUCCAGAGCCACAGUCCUCCAGAAGACAUCGUUCACCCCUGUGGGGGAUGUUUUUGAGCUAAACUUUGUGAAUGUCAAAUUUUCCAGUGGCUAUUAUGACUUCUCUGUCAAAGUUGAAGGUGACAACCGUUAUAUUGCAAAUACUGUAGAGCUCAGAGUCAAGAUUUCCACUGAAGUUGGCAUCACAAAUGUCGAUCUCUCCACUGUGGAUAAGGAUCAGAGCAUUGCACCCAAAACCACGCGGGUGACCUACCCAGCCAAAGCCAAGGGCACAUUCAUCGCAGACAGCCACCAGAACUUUGCUUUAUUCUUCCAGCUGGUAGAUGUGAACACUGGUGCUGAACUCACCCCUCACCAGACAUUUGUCCGACUCCAUAACCAGAAGACUGGCCAGGAGGUGGUAUUUGUUGCGGAGCCGGACAGCAAGAACGUGUACAAGUUUGAACUGGAUACCUCUGAGAGAAAGCUCGAAUUUGACUCUGCGUCCGGCACCUACAGUCUCUACUUGAUCAUCGGAGAUGCUACUUUGAAGAACCCAAUCCUGUGGAAUGUGGCUGAUGUGGUCAUCAGGUUCCCUGAAGAAGAUGCUCCGUCGACUGUCCUGUCCAAGAACCUUUUCACCCCCAAACAGGAAAUUCAGCACCUGUUCCGCGAGCCGGAGAAGAGGCCCCCCACGGUGGUGUCCAAUACAUUCACCGCCCUGAUCCUCUCGCCCUUGCUCCUGCUCUUUGCUCUGUGGAUCCGGAUUGGUGCCAACGUCUCCAACUUCACUUUUGCUCCUAGCACGAUUACCUUUCACCUGGGACAUGCUGCUAUGCUGGGGCUCAUGUAUGUCUACUGGACGCAACUCAACAUGUUCCAGACCCUGAAGUACCUGGCCAUCUUGGGCAGUGUGACGUUUCUGGCUGGCAAUCGCAUGCUGGCCCAGCAGGCAAUCAAGAGGAUCGCUGCAGAGCAGAGCAGUAGAUUGGCAAAAUAUAGGACACUACGUUUAGACAUCGAGUCUGAUCACUGACAAGAACAUGACCACACGAUAGGAAUAUGGUGCAGAUUUCUGUACCGAAAGGUCAGAAUGUCAUCUUCCAAGCUACGUGAGGGCAUGUGUUGUUUGGCAGACCUGGAGUCCGGGAAAUUGAAGACGAGCGUUCUUCUAUUCAUCUAGUUGAAAUGUACAGUGUCUUUUUGGCCUUGUACUGUGAGAGGUGUGCCUGGAAUUACCUCAUCUUGUGUUUUCACAUACCACACUUACUUAGGUAUCAUCAGAACAGCACAUUAGUUCCAGGAAAAAGAAGGAGAUUCUGAAAGCUUAAGUGAAUAUCAAGAGAAGGAGUCAAGAAUAAUUCAUAGUUUGAGAAGAGGAAUGAAAAAAACCCUUUAUUUAAAAAGAAAAAAGUCAAAAUCGUUUUGCUUGUUUUUCUAUUUCCCCAACACAGAGCAGGUACCUGUGAGCCCAGAUACUCUGUUUCUGUGGCAUGGUGCCCUAGCAAGAUGCUGUGAAUAUUCUAACUUACCCACAUGUUGCAUUGAAAAGUUGAAAUCUGUAAUUAAUCUGUUAUGGAAUAAAGAGAAUAAUAGGAAUGAA
Aethalodelphis obliquidens (Pacific white-sided dolphin) is the source of this 3972-nucleotide RNA transcript. It is a transcript of the gene named ribophorin II, with no coding region annotated. The transcript is spliced from 18 exons. NCBI's taxonomy places the organism in Eukaryota, Metazoa, Chordata, Mammalia, Artiodactyla, Delphinidae. The record is from RefSeq and is a predicted model, not a curated record.